AGAGUGAACGCUGGCGGUAGGCCUAACACAUGCAAGUCGAACGGCAGCACGGUAGGAGCUUGCUCUUACGGGUGGCGAGUGGCGGACGGGUGAGGAAUACAUCGGAAUCUACCUUUUGGUGGGGGAUAACGUAGGGAAACUUACGCUAAUACCGCAUACGCCCUUCGGGGGAAAGCCGGGACCAGCAAUGGCCUGGCGCUGAUAGAUGAGCCGAUGUCGGAUUAGCUAGUUGGUGAGGUAAUGGCUCACCAAGGCGACGAUCCGUAGCUGAUCUGAGAGGAUGAUCAGCCACACUGGAACUGAGACACGGUCCAGACUCCUACGGGAGCAGCAGGUGGGAAUGUGGACAAGUGGG
Molecule: ribosomal RNA, 355 nt
Filed under: uncultured soil bacterium
Lineage: Bacteria
Description: bacterial SSU rRNA
Rfam family: Bacterial small subunit ribosomal RNA
Source: RNAcentral